RNAcentral lists this non-coding RNA (151 nucleotides) under uncultured Nitzschia. The record is from RNAcentral. Lineage: Eukaryota; Bacillariophyta; Bacillariophyceae; Bacillariales; Bacillariaceae.
CAACAUCGCACCUAAACCUACAAACGCAACGAAAGAAAGCACGAAGAAAGAAAGACGAACGAACGAACGAAAUGAGACACGCUACUUACGCUUCUAUUAUUAAAGUCGCAUUAUCUAUUUUCCGAUUAUAUAGUAUUCUUAUAAUUGAUGU